GUGAUGCGCGCUACCAUGCAAGUCGAGCGAACCUUCGGGUUAGCGGCGGACGGGUGAGUAACGCGUGGGAACGUACCCUCUUCUGCGGGAUAGCCACUGGAAACGGUGAGUAAUACCGCAUACGCCCUUCGGGGGAAAGAUUUAUCGGAGGAGGAUCGGCCCGCGUUGGAUUAGGUAGUUGGUGGGGUAAUGGCCUACCAAGCCUACGAUCCAUAGCUGGUUUUAGAGGAUGAUCAGCCACACUGGGACUGAGACACGGCCCAGACUCCUACGGGAGGCAGCAGUGGGGAAUCUUAGACAAUGGGCGCAAGCCUGAUCUAGCCAUGCCGCGUGAGUGACGAAGGCCUUAGGGUCGUAAAGCUCUUUCGCCAGAGAUGAUAAUGACAGUAUCUGGUAAAGAAACCCCGGCUAACUCCGUGCCAGCAGCCGCGGUAAUACGGAGGGGGUUAGCGUUGUUCGGAAUUACUGGGCGUAAAGCGCACGUAGGCGGAUUGGAAAGUUGGGGGUGAAAUCCCAGGGCUCAACCCUGGAACUGCCUCCAAAACUCCCAGUCUGGAGUUCGAGAGAGGUGAGUGGAAUUCCGAGUGUAGAGGUGAAAUUCGUAGAUAUUCGGAGGAACACCAGUGGCGAAGGCGGCUCACUGGCUCGAUACUGACGCUG
Molecule: ribosomal RNA, 660 nt
Filed under: Roseovarius sp.
Lineage: Bacteria; Pseudomonadati; Pseudomonadota; Alphaproteobacteria; Rhodobacterales; Roseobacteraceae
Description: bacterial SSU rRNA
Rfam family: Bacterial small subunit ribosomal RNA
Source: RNAcentral